CCUACGGGAGGCAGCAGUGGGGAAUUUUGGACAAUGGGCGCAAGCCUGAUCCAGCCAUGCCGCGUGUGGGAAGAAGGCCUUCGGGUUGUAAACCACUUUUGUCAGGGAAGAAACGGUCUGAUCUAAUACAUUGGGCUAAUGACGGUACCUGAAGAAUAAGCACCGGCUAACUACGUGCCAGCAGCCGCGGUAAUACGUAGGGUGCAAGCGUUAAUCGGAAUUACUGGGCGUAAAGCGUGCGCAGGCGGCUUUGCAAGACAGAUGUGAAAUCCCCGGGCUCAACCUGGGAACUGCAUUUGUGACUGCAUGGCUAGAGUACGGUAGAGGGGGAUGGAAUUCCGCGUGUAGCAGUGAAAUGCGUAGAUAUGCGGAGGAACACCGAUGGCGAAGGCAAUCCCCUGGACCUGUACUGACGCUCAUGCACGAAAGCGUGGGGAGCAAACAGGAUUAGAUACCCUGGUAGUCCACGCCCUAAACGAUGUCAACUGGUUGUUGGACGGCUUGCUGUUCAGUAACGAAGCUAACGCGUGAAGUUGACCGCCUGGGGAGUACGGCCGCAGGUUGAAACUCAAAGGAAUUGACGG
RNAcentral lists this ribosomal RNA (584 nucleotides) under uncultured bacterium. RNAcentral describes it as "bacterial SSU rRNA". It matches the Rfam family "Bacterial small subunit ribosomal RNA", at positions 338 to 916 of the family's 1533-position model. The record is from RNAcentral.